Callorhinchus milii (elephant shark) is the source of this 1160-nucleotide long non-coding RNA. RefSeq lists it as uncharacterized. The record is from RefSeq and is a predicted model, not a curated record. Lineage: Eukaryota; Metazoa; Chordata; Chondrichthyes; Chimaeriformes; Callorhinchidae. The transcript has 3 exons.
CAGUGAAACUGCCUGCAGAUCAUUUCAAUCUGGGCUCAAGCAAAAAUUGUUGCUGGUAUUCAAUGAAGGGAGUCAUAGAGAUUAUCUCAAAUAUGGUGGUGAACAUUUCUUUACAGUAUUGGUAACUGAGAAUUUCACAUUCAUCAAAAUAAUGAACGUUAAAUACAUCAUUCUUCUUCUAACCUUAUUGAUAACAAUGACUACAGAAUGUGAAGGAGUCCAGCAGUUUGCACAUUGGGCAGAAAUACAGCCAGCAGAAGAUAUCAGUGAAUCAGUAAACCGUGUCAUUCGAUGUUCAGGUUGCAAACGGUCUACUACGAGAGAAAACAAACGUAUCCGACCUAAACUCUCCCGCAAAGGUCCGCUACCCUUUUAGAAUCAGGCACUCUAUUGCUCCCAGCGCUUAUUUUCUACAAAGAUCAUGUUCUGUGCCAUCUAGGAAUAGAACUAUCAAGGACAAACAUCCCUUUACCAUCUCUUUGAGGAAUACAAUCUAUAUUUCUGUUGGGAUGCAUACAAUAUCAGUUUCACCUGUUCACUACCGUUAUAACAGAAGGAUCACACUUUUUAACCAAAUGUGAAUGUGCAACAUAAUCAAAGGACAACAUUCUUUGUGACACGAUUCAUGGCACACAACAUUUUCUCUACAUAUUUCCAAGUGACCAAUUCCAUCUAUAAGCAAAACAAUCUUAAAGCUGUUUCAGCUCUACAUUCUCAGCAGGCUCCUGGUAAUUGACACUGUCUGGGAAACAAAUUAUUUCUGAUGAUCAGUGGGCCAAUUCAUAAGGAGUAAUUAUAUCUUUUAAAAUACAAAAAACGUGGAGCCAACAUAAUUUGCCACUUACGGUUAUUUCACAUUUGAAAUAACUGUCAGUUAGAUAGGGACCUGCUUCAAUUGUCUCUGAACUAUUAGUGGAGCAAGAGAAAUAGUGGCAAAGUGCACUUAAUAUUAUCUGGGGUUCAGUUAAAUAACUCCAGUUACAUAUUUAAGUGACAUGGCUGUACUUGUCUAUUUCAUAAGUAAUGACAAAAAUAUGGAUAAGGAAAAAUAUGGAUAAGGUUCAGGAAAAAUUUAAAUGUCCUAUAUACUCUGAAGGCUUUGCUUAAACUUGUGGUACAUCCGUGAUAGUAACAUUUUAAUUAAAAAAUUAUCAUUUGUG